Molecule: unclassified non-coding RNA, 342 nt
Filed under: Nocardia blacklockiae
Lineage: Bacteria; Bacillati; Actinomycetota; Actinomycetes; Mycobacteriales; Nocardiaceae
Description: 16S-23S ribosomal RNA intergenic spacer
Source: RNAcentral
CUAAGGAGCAUCUGCGCAGGCGCCUCGAGGAGUCGAGUGUGACUGUGCCAGAGCCGUUUCGGGCUCAUGUGUAGUCCGGCGGAAGCUCAUGGGUGGAACGCUGGCAACCUCUUCCGCGUGUGACUGGAGCUGUGUCUCCGGUUGUGGUUGAUAUAUCGACACACUGUUGGGUCCUGAAAGAACACGCGUUCUUUCUAGGAAAUCGAAACGAUCUGCCUGGAUCUCUUGUGAUACCGGCUUCUUCGGGAGUGCUGGUCCUGGGUUCGGGUUCUGGUGGGUGUGUUGUUUGAGAACUGCACAGUGGACGCGAGCAUCUUUGUUCGUAAGUGUUUAAGGGCGUUC